RNAcentral lists this ribosomal RNA (238 nucleotides) under uncultured bacterium. Its description in RNAcentral is "partial 16S ribosomal RNA". It matches the Rfam family "Bacterial small subunit ribosomal RNA", at positions 96 to 334 of the family's 1533-position model. The record is from RNAcentral.
CGGCGGACGGGUGAGUAACGCGUGGGUAACCUGCCUCAUACAGGGGGAUAACAGUUGGAGACGGCUGCUAAUACCGCAUAAGCGCACAGUACCGCAUGGUACCGUGUGAAAAACUCCGGUGGUAUGAGAUGGACCCGCGUCUGAUUAGCUAGUUGGUGGGGUAACGGCCUACCAAGGCGACGAUCAGUAGCCGACCUGAGAGGGUGACCGGCCACAUUGGGACUGAGACACGGCCCAA